Molecule: long non-coding RNA, 613 nt
Organism: Chelonus insularis
Lineage: Eukaryota; Metazoa; Arthropoda; Insecta; Hymenoptera; Braconidae
Exons: 3
Source: RefSeq, a predicted model, not a curated record
UUCAUUCCUAUUUAACGAUUUUAGGAGUAUCGAUACGUCGGUUGUCGAUACAUAUUAAGAUCGAUACAUUUUUAAUUGAUUCGAUCCGAUACAGUGUAUCAAUACUUUCGACUGUAUCGUGAAACCCUAUAUAGUUUCGACGACCGUUUUGUCGUACGAUUGUUGCAGCAUUUAGGGGUCAUAAAAAACAAUAUUUUUUGCAAGAGGACAAUAAAUUUUAGUGAUCUCCAGAUGGAAAUUGAAUACUACCGUUUUGAAUGGAAGGUUCCAUUUUUAUUGAAAUGACCGAUUAACCUAAAGUUACUAAACUACCUGUAGUAUAGUCUCUACCGCAAGAUAGACCACUGUACUCGUGACUUCUCAACUUUUUGAGAUGGAUAAUAAAAAGAAUAGGCUCCCCGCUUAUUCAUAAAAAAUUAUAAGAAUUUAGAAAAAAGUCUCACUCUUAAAACUCUACCAGGAGUUGAUAAUAUUUUGUUAAUUAGACUUCGUCUACAAGAAAAAUGUAUACAAUCUAGUAAGUAAGGUUAGGUGGUAUGUCGAAUAGUGUAAAAUUUAUGUUAUGGCACUACUCUUAGAUGUUUUAUUACCGAUUAUGAAUAUAUAACAUUAU